This 87-nucleotide transfer RNA is filed under the name Nevskiaceae bacterium. Its description in RNAcentral is "tRNA-Leu". It matches the Rfam family "tRNA". From Rfam's summary of the family: Transfer RNA (tRNA) molecules are approximately 80 nucleotides in length. Lineage: Bacteria; Pseudomonadati; Pseudomonadota; Gammaproteobacteria; Nevskiales; Nevskiaceae. The record is from RNAcentral.
GCCCGGAUGGUGGAAUCCGGUAGACACGCUCGCUUGAGGGGCGAGUGCCGCAAGGCAUUCCGGGUUCGACUCCCGGUUCGGGCACCA